Osmerus eperlanus (European smelt) is the source of this 440-nucleotide long non-coding RNA. RefSeq lists it as uncharacterized. NCBI's taxonomy places the organism in Eukaryota, Metazoa, Chordata, Actinopteri, Osmeriformes, Osmeridae. The record is from RefSeq and is a predicted model, not a curated record. The transcript has 3 exons.
GGAGACGCUGCUGAUGAGUUGAAACCUUCUGCACGACACUUCCUCCUACGGGUGUUAGACAGAAAAUACACACUCUGACACACACAUUCCCUCACAGACAUGCACAGAGACACACACACACAUACUUUCUCACAUUGAUUACUAGUUUACUUUUGGAAAGCGAUGCGAUGGGAAUGAGAUCUUCUAUUUUUCAGACAGGUAGAAAAUAUGUCUAAGAAUAACAGGGAGGGUCUUUUGAAACCUGAACUGAGAUGUUCCCCAGUUGGAAAUAUCGCUAAAACAUCUUCCUGUCCAAACAGAAGAUGGUCCCCUCAGUCCUCAGGUCCCUGUCAGACCUACUGAUCUCUCAGUCCUGAGGUCCCUGUCAGACCUACUGAUCUCUCAGUCCUCAGGUCCCUGUCAGACCUACUGAUCUCUCUCUGUCCUCAGGUCCCUGUCAG